Molecule: long non-coding RNA, 2904 nt
Filed under: Homo sapiens (human)
Lineage: Eukaryota; Metazoa; Chordata; Mammalia; Primates; Hominidae
Description: ADGRL1 antisense RNA 1 (ADGRL1-AS1)
Source: RNAcentral
CGAGCGCCACCGCGGUGUUGGCGAGUGUGAAGAGAGAGGAGGAGCGUUUGCGGCCUCAGCGUCUGUCAACAGAACCCUCUUCACCCGUGGUUAAACCCUCCCUAACCCUGAGCUCGUGCUCCCCUCCCGGUGGACGCAGACCUGACCACAGAAGCCCUGCAGCACUCACUGGGGGCUUGAGGGAGCCCCUGAGUCCCCUCCACCCUCGCCGCCUUCUCCUGGGUACCCAGGAAACGUCUCCAAGGGAGGCUGUGACCCAGGACCCCGCCUCGACCUCACCUUCUUCUGUAAGGCGCAGUGAAAGACGAAGAUGAAGACCCCCUGGAAGGCGUUGAAGGUGGUGAAGAGAUAGGCCAUGACCACCGACUCCUUGUUGAUGAAGAGGAGGCCGAAAGCCCAGCAAUAAUCGUAAUUGACAAGAGGCAUUACAAGGAGCUGCAACAAAAGCAACGACUACCAAGUGUCCAGCACUCACGAGGGGCCAGCAACUAUGCUACGCACCUCACUGGCCGUCUUUUGAGAACCCUGUCUACAGAUGGGAAAACUGAGGCACACUGAAGUGAGGCCACAUGGCUGGCGAAAGCAGGCACCAUUUCCUUUGCAUCUACAGCUCGGGUGCACACAAGCUUGACAUGCGUUGUCGCUACUCCUUGUGGCUUCCCAGGGAAGGCUUUUGACCCCUCUCCACCCCAUCACAGAUGAAUAAACAGGCUCAGCUGGCUUAAAGGGCAUUGGUAAUAUUACUGAGCACAUCCUGAACCAGGCAUGGGUCUGGGCGCUGGGGCGGCGGGUGAAGACGAAGCCUCUGCCCUUGGGAAGUUUACACUCGGCACUCAAAACCCUGCCACCAGGAGCGACUUUGUGGCCGGCCCUGGGCCAAGCGCUUCUCACAUGUCAUCUCAUGGACUCACACCUCCUUCCGUAGUGGCCCAGAGAAAUUAAAUCAUUUGCUCAAGGUUUCAGAGCCAGAAAACUCAAGAGCCCAGUCGAGCCUUGAACCUACACCCAUCUGACUGCCCCCCUGUGCUGAGCUCGCUGCCUCCCACCCCCCUUCCCCGCUGUCCCAGCCGCGGGAGUCAGCCGUGUCCCCAGUGCUGUGGGGAGGCUUCAAGGAGCAGAUGGGCAUCCCCCUCGGUGGUGGCUGAAGGCCUCAAGCGCUGAAAGGAAAGGACGAAGAGUAAAAGAAGAAAAUUACGGAAGCACAGAAGGGAUCCUGUUUCCCCAGCAUCGAGUCACCUGUGAGGAGAAAUCAAAGGCUGGCAGGGAAGGUUGGGGUGGGAGGGGAGAGGAGGGAGAGUUACAGGGCCUCUUAGUCCCCAAACCCGGCCCGCCACACUCAGACACCCUGAUGGCCCUGCCUUCUCCCCACUCUUCCCGGAGGCCCUACCACCAGGUUGACUACAUGGAACCCAUUGUGGGAGGAGAAGGGAAGGGAUAAUGGGAAGGAGGGAGGGAGGAGAGAGGGCAGGAAAAAGGUGAUGUCAAGGGUGGGGUGCUGAGGAGGAGAGACCUUGUCUUUGUCUGAUCCCUUUGGCCAGGUGCAAGAUGGCCAGGCUCCUGGCUCCCCAAAUCACUUUCUUCAGGCUGCCUGGAGGCCACCCUCAGUCCAACAUGGCGGCAUUUCCUUUGCAGACAGGAAGUGCCACAUGGUAAUGGGGAGACCAGUGAGGAGCUAUGAAUCUGUUGAAAAUGCCCCCCAGCCCUUCACCCUGAAUCUGCCACCAGGCCUCAGAGGAUGGUAUCCCACUCUAUGGGUGUAGAGUCCAGCUUCCAUGAUUGGGAAGAAGUGUGUGGGGAGUGAGGGUGCUGAGAGAACGGUGUUGAGAGGGGCAGUGGGGUAAGUGAGAGGGAAGAGAAGGUAGAUGAGAAGGGUCAGAAAAGGUCAGAAGAGUCAGAAAAGGAAGGGAUGUGAGAAGGCGAGGGAGGCAGAUGGGGGAGAAAAGCAUAGAGGCCAAGGGAGAAGAGAGAGACGUAAGUGUGCCAGGCAGAGCACGGGACCAUGGCCUGGCAGUGUGGAAAUGAGUAUAGGGUGCAUGAAGAAGCAGGGUGAGUGGGCUGGGGUAAGGAGAGCUGGAGAAGGUGUCCCCACAGGAGGGGACAGAGUCUGUGAGGCGGGGGAGCAGGCACUGAGUGUGGACACUGGUGUCUGGGAUUAGAGAAUGUGUGUUGGAGAGAGCAGGCCCGGCUGUCCCCACUGUGCCCAGGCCCCAUGCAUGUGUGCACAUGUGUGAUGGGUCAAGGUGUCUCCUCCUCACUCACUCAUGCGAGAAGGGCCCGCAUCCGCACAAGGAACAAGAUGACUCACUGUAGGGGACACAGUCGUACUGCACCUCCAGGUACUUGUAGGUCCCAGGACAGGGGUCAGGAAAGGCAUCCGAGCCGGCGACCACCACGCACUGGGUGCGGUUGUUACACCUUCAGAGGAGAAACAGGGCAUUGGGAAAGAAACACAUAGACGGGGUGGCGGGGGUGGGGGUGCAUGCUCCAGGGUCAUGGUGUCAUAGACACCCCCAAAUUGGGAAGGGGCAGUGGAGCUGGAAACCAAGUGAUAUAGUUUGGAUCUGUGUCCAUACCCAAAUCUCAUGUUGAAUUGUGAUCUCCAGUGUUGGAGGUGGGGCCUGGUGGGAGGUGAUUGGAUCAUGGGGGCAGUUUCUAAUGAAUGGUUUAUCACCAUCCCCUCCGUGCUGUUGAGAUCUGGUUGUUUAAAAGUGUGUAGCACCUCCCCUGUUCUCUUUUCCUCCUACUCCAGCCAUGUACGGCGUGCCUGCUUCCCCUUCACCUUCUGCUGUGAUUGUAAGUUUCCUGAGGCCUCCCCAGAAGCAGAAGCUACUAUGCUUCCUGUACAGCCUGCAGAACUAUGAGCCAAUUAAAUGUCUUUUCUUUAUAAAAAAAAAAAAAAAAAAA